RNAcentral lists this ribosomal RNA (459 nucleotides) under uncultured bacterium. RNAcentral's name for it is "partial 16S ribosomal RNA". It matches the Rfam family "Bacterial small subunit ribosomal RNA", at positions 338 to 795 of the family's 1533-position model. The record is from RNAcentral.
CCUACGGGUGGCAGCAGUGAGGAAUAUUGGUCAAUGGUCGGGAGACUGAACCAGCCAAGCCGCGUGAGGGAGGAAGGUACAGAGUAUCGUAAACCUCUUUUGUCAGGGAACAAAGGCGGGGACGUGUCCCCGGAUGAGUGUACCUGAAGAAAAAGCAUCGGCUAACUCCGUGCCAGCAGCCGCGGUAAUACGGAGGAUGCGAGCGUUAUCCGGAUUUAUUGGGUUAAAAGGGUGCGCAGGCGGUCUGUUAAGUCAGCGGUCAAAGCCCGGGGCUAAACCCCGGCCCGCCGUUGAAACUGUAUAGCUUGAGUACUGGAGAGGCAGGCGGAAUUCCUAGUGUAGCGGUGAAAUGCGUAGAUAUUAGGAGGAACACCAGUGGCGAAGGCGGCCUGCUGGACAGAAACUGACGUUGAGGCUCGAAAGCGUGGGGAGCAAACAGGAUUAGAUACCCCUGUAGUC